AAAAUUUUUCAGAUUCCCCGUCACAUCGAAUCUUUAAACGUAUGCAUGAAGUAUUAAAUAUAGAUGAAAAUAAAAACUAAUUACACAGUUUGGUCGGAAUUGACGAGACGAAUCUUUUGAGCCUAGUUAGUGCAUGAUUAGACAAUAUUUGUCAAAUACAAACGAAAGUGCUACAGUGCCUGUUUUGCAAAAUUUUUUGGAACUAAACAAGGCC
This 214-nucleotide long non-coding RNA is filed under the name Sorghum bicolor (sorghum). RNAcentral describes it as "long non-coding RNA (SBIC_LNC007298)". The record is from RNAcentral. Lineage: Eukaryota; Viridiplantae; Streptophyta; Magnoliopsida; Poales; Poaceae.